This is a non-coding RNA of Neolamprologus brichardi, 482 nucleotides long. NCBI's taxonomy places the organism in Eukaryota, Metazoa, Chordata, Actinopteri, Cichliformes, Cichlidae. The record is from RefSeq and is a predicted model, not a curated record.
AACCACAAACUGUCAUCAAAAGUCCAGAAGAUUCACUCAAAGCUUCAGAACAGACCGAGCAGAGCUCAGAUUCUGCUGUACAAGAAGAAACACAACAGCAGACUGCAGGAAAAUCACCUGAGAUUUCUGUGGAGGCAAAGCAGAGAGUUGAAAGUGUAGAAACAGUUACAAAGGACAAAGUCUCUGUGACUGCAAAGAAGAUCUCAAAGGAUCCGGUCGCUCCUACCCACCCAACAUUUGGGGAACGGAUACAAGAGCAACUGCGUCCAGAAAGAAUCCGUUGUCUCAAGACAGUCAGACUUCCCCAUUCAAAGCUUGUUUCGCUUGGUUACAAGGUGCUGUUAAUAAGCAACCUGCCAGAGUAUCACGAUGGCUGUUACGCAGAGGAGGACAUCGCCGGUCUGCUCACUCGACACAGAUUUGAAUAUUACGACGAUACGAUCUACAUUAUACCACAGGCGCGCAUGGUAAGCACCAAGUUA